UACGAAGGGGGCUAGCGUUGUUCGGAAUUACUGGGCGUAAAGCGCGUGUAGGCGGGCCUUUAAGUCAGGGGUGAAAUGCCAAGGCUCAACCUUGGAACUGCCUUUGAUACUGGAGACCUUGAGUCCGGGAGAGGUGAGUGGAAUUGCGAGUGUAGAGGUGAAAUUCGUAGAUAUUCGCAAGAACACCAGUGGCGAAGGCGGCUCACUGGCCCGAUACUGACGCUGAGGCACGAAAGCGUGGGGAGCAAACAGG
Molecule: ribosomal RNA, 253 nt
Filed under: uncultured bacterium
Lineage: Bacteria
Description: partial 16S ribosomal RNA
Rfam family: Bacterial small subunit ribosomal RNA
Source: RNAcentral